Molecule: ribosomal RNA, 497 nt
Filed under: uncultured bacterium
Lineage: Bacteria
Description: partial 16S ribosomal RNA
Rfam family: Bacterial small subunit ribosomal RNA
Source: RNAcentral
GAUGAACGCUGGCGGCGUGCCUAAUACAUGCAAGUCGAGCGAACAGACGAGUAUCUUGCUCCUCUGACGUUAGCGGCUGACGGGUGAGUAACACGUGGAUAACCUACCUAUAAUACUGGGAUAACUUCGUGACACCGGCGCUAAUACCGUAUAAUAUCUUUAUCCUCAUGUUUCAAUAGUGAAAUACGUUUUUUCUGUCACUUUUAGCUGUAUCCGCGCCGCAUGAGCUAGUUGUUAAGGUAACGGCUUACCAAGGCAACGAUGCUUAGCCGACAUGAGAGGGUGAUCGGCCACACUGGAACUGAGACACGGACCAGACUACUACGGGAGGCAGCAGUAGGGAAUCUUCCGCAAUGGGCGAAAGCAUGACGGAGCAACGCCGCGUGAGUGAUGAAGGUCUUCGGAUCGUAAAACUCUGUUAUGAGGGAAGAACAAAUGUGUAAGUGACUAUGCACGUAUUGACGGUACCUAAUCAGAAAGCCACGGCUAACUACGUG